GGGUUGCAGGCCUGGGCGCCGGGGUUGGACCAGUCUCCCGGGCAUGGCACGCCCUGGUUUGGUGUGUACCCAUGGUUUGUGGCGGGGCAAGACGUUAAGUUGGGUGACACCGAGGUGAGCCACGGUCCUUGGCACCAGAUGAGGAACCACUGUCUCAAUAAGGUCUCAGUGCUGUGUGUGUAAUGGUUACCGUGAGAGCUUCCCUGCAAUCCGAAUUUGUGUGUCUCAUUCUCAGUGACACCAGUGAUGCUGUUAAACAAGGACAGUCCGGUUCAUGGAUUGUGACAACGCACGCUGACAUCAAGCAGACCCUGCCGUCAGAUCCUCCUGUCUCAGUUUGCAGUUG
RNAcentral lists this long non-coding RNA (346 nucleotides) under Pan troglodytes (chimpanzee). RNAcentral's name for it is "long non-coding RNA NONPTRT002855". Lineage: Eukaryota; Metazoa; Chordata; Mammalia; Primates; Hominidae. The record is from RNAcentral.